Molecule: ribosomal RNA, 783 nt
Filed under: uncultured bacterium
Lineage: Bacteria
Description: bacterial SSU rRNA
Rfam family: Bacterial small subunit ribosomal RNA
Source: RNAcentral
AUUGCAGUUGAUACUGGCGUCCUUGAGUGCGGUUGAGGUGUGCGGAAUUCGUGGUGUAGCGGUGAAAUGCUUAGAUAUCACGAAGAACUCCGAUUGCGAAGGCAGCACACUAAGCCGUAACUGACGUUCAUGCUCGAAAGUGUGGGUAUCAAACAGGAUUAGAUACCCUGGUAGUCCACACGGUAAACGAUGGAUACUCGCUGUUGGCGAUAUACUGUCAGCGGCUUAGCGAAAGCGUUAAGUAUCCCACCUGGGGAGUACGCCGGCAACGGUGAAACUCAAAGGAAUUGACGGGGGCCCGCACAAGCGGAGGAACAUGUGGUUUAAUUCGAUGAUACGCGAGGAACCUUACCCGGGCUUGAAUUGCAGCUGCAUGGAGCAGAGAUGUUCCUUCCCUUCGGGGCUGCUGUGAAGGUGCUGCAUGGUUGUCGUCAGCUCGUGCCGUGAGGUGUCGGCUUAAGUGCCAUAACGAGCGCAACCCUUUUCCCCGGUUGCCAUCAGGUAAUGCUGGGCACUCCGAGGAUACUGCCGCCGCAAGGCGUGAGGAAGGUGGGGAUGACGUCAAAUCAGCACGGCCCUUACGUCCGGGGCUACACACGUGUUACAAUGGGGGAUACAGAGCGUUGCCACCCGGUGACGGGGCGCCAAUCGUGAAAAUCCCUCCCAGUUCGGACUGGAGUCUGCAACCCGACUCCACGAAGCUGGAUUCGCUAGUAAUCGCGCAUCAGCCAUGGCGCGGUGAAUACGUUCCCGGGCCUUGUACACACCGCCCGUCAAGCCAUG